This 225-nucleotide ribosomal RNA is filed under the name uncultured bacterium. Its description in RNAcentral is "partial 16S ribosomal RNA". It matches the Rfam family "Bacterial small subunit ribosomal RNA", at positions 30 to 254 of the family's 1533-position model. The record is from RNAcentral.
AUUGAACGCUGGCGGCGUGCUUAACACAUGCAAGUCGAUCGGUAACAGGUGUAGCAAUACAUGCUGACGAGAGGCGGACGGGUGAGUAAUGCUUGGGAAUCUGCCUAUUAGUGGGGGACGAACCCGGGAAACGUCGGCUAAUACCGCAUACGCUCUACGGAGGAAAGCCGGGACCGCAAGGCCUGGCGCUAAUAGAUGAGCCCAAGUCGGAUUAGCUAGUUGGUA